AAUUGCCCUACCGCCUUGAGAGUGACAGAUCUCAAAAGCCAAGCAGGAUUGGCCUGGUUAUUACUUGGAUGGGAGACUGUUGGGAAUACAAGGUGCCACAGUGC
Molecule: ribosomal RNA, 104 nt
Filed under: Periophthalmus magnuspinnatus
Lineage: Eukaryota; Metazoa; Chordata; Actinopteri; Gobiiformes; Gobiidae
Source: RNAcentral